Molecule: ribosomal RNA, 405 nt
Filed under: uncultured bacterium
Lineage: Bacteria
Description: bacterial SSU rRNA
Rfam family: Bacterial small subunit ribosomal RNA
Source: RNAcentral
UCGGGAAUAUUGCGCAAUGGAGGAAACUCUGACGCAGUGACGCCGCGUAUAGGAAGAAGGUUUUCGUAUUGUAAACUAUUGUCGUUAGGGAAGAUACAAGACAGUACCUAAGGAGGAAGCACCGGCUAACUAUGUGCCAGCAGCCGCGGUAAUACAUAGGGUGCGAGCGUUAUCCGGAAUUAUUGGGUGUAAAGGGUGCGUAGACGGGAAGGCAAGUUAGUUGUGAAAUCCCUCGGCUCAACCGAGGAACUGCAACUAAAACUAUCUUUCUUGAGUGUCGGAGAGGAAAGUGGAAUUCCUAGUGUAGCGGUGAAAUGCGUAGAUAUUAGGAGGAACACCAGUGGCGAAGGCGACUUUCUGGACGAUAACUGACGUUGAGGCACGAAAGUGUGGGGAGCAAACAGG